GAUGAACGCUGGCGGCGUGCUUAACACAUGCAAGUCGAACGAUGAAGCCCAGCUUGUUGGGUGUAUUCGUGGCGCACGGGUGUGUAACACGCGAGUAAACUGCCCUUAUCUCUGGGGUAAGCCUGGGAAAAAGGGUCUAUUACCGCAUAGGGGCGCUUACCCCACGGUGGGUGGUUGAAAGAUUUACCGGUUUUGGAUGGACUCGCGGCUUAUCAGCUUGUUGGUGGGGGAAUGGCUCACCAAGGCGCUGACGGGUAGCCGGCCUGAGAGGGUGACCGGCCACACUGGGACUGAGACACGGCCCAGACUCCUACGGGAGGCAGCAGUGGGGAAUAUUGCACAAUGGGCGGAAGCCUGAUGCAGCAACGCCGCGUGAGGGAUGACGGCCUUCGGGUUGUAAACCGCUUUCAGUAGGGAAGAAGCGAAAGUGACGGUACCUGCAGAAGAAGCACCGGCUAACUACGUG
RNAcentral lists this ribosomal RNA (466 nucleotides) under uncultured bacterium. RNAcentral describes it as "partial 16S ribosomal RNA". It matches the Rfam family "Bacterial small subunit ribosomal RNA", at positions 28 to 507 of the family's 1533-position model. The record is from RNAcentral.